RNAcentral lists this long non-coding RNA (3156 nucleotides) under Sus scrofa (pig). RNAcentral describes it as "lncRNA (ENSSSCG00035008098.1)". Lineage: Eukaryota; Metazoa; Chordata; Mammalia; Artiodactyla; Suidae. The record is from RNAcentral.
UCUUGGGCCACUCCCAUGACAUAUGGAGGUUCCCAGGCUACGGGUCGAAUUGGAGAUGUAGCCGCCAGCCUACGCCACAGCCAUAGCAACUUGGGAUCCGAGCUGCGUCUGCAACCUACACCACAGCUCAUGGCAAUGCCAGACCCUUAACCCACUGAGCAAGGCCAGGGAUCGAACCUGCAACCUCACAGUUCCUAGUCGGAUUCGUUAACCACUGCGCCACUACGGGAACUCCUUAAUCUUCUCUUCUUACAAAGACAUCUGUCAUAUUGGACUAGGACCCACCCAUAUAUCUGACCUUAUUUUAUCAUUCUUAGCUGUUCAAAGACACUAUCUCUGGAGUGAAGUUAAGGAUCUGGCACUGUCACUGCAGCAGCUCAGGGAUGCUGCUAUGGCAUGGAUUUGUUCCUGGUCCACAAACUUCCACAUGCCAUGGGUGUGGUCAAAAAAUAAUAAUAAAGACCCUGUCUCCAAAUACAGCUAUAUUCUGAGGCACUGUGCAUUAGGACUUCAAAAUGUGAAUUGAGAGGGGACACUAUUCAGCCCAUAACAAUUAUAUUUCAUUCUAAGGGAAUAUUAUCAACCAAGUGAGGAAUGCUAAAUGUCUUAAAAUCUCUGCUUCCUCACUUCUCUACAAGCUGCUUGUCAUUUUAUGGGGUUAUUAAUAUCUCCACCAGCCAUCUAGUUGAUGCUAGGAGGAUGUAACUCAAAAUCAUUUUAUUAUUUACUCAGAUACGUUUUCUUCCUCAUUUAUAAGUAUUGUAAAGUUAAUACAAGUGAGAAAAAAAUUUGUCUGGUAUUUCACCAACCGUAAUGAAGUAUACUCUAACAUUUAUAAUUGCUAGUUCAGUUAAGUACUAUGUAAGAAUUCACAGGUGAUAUUGUUAUAAAAUAAUGAACCAGAUGGAAACGUUUGCCUCAUUACUUCUUGGUUAUUUCCCAUAAAGUUAAUACUUCACUACCUGAAUGGUUUGGAAGAGAACAACUCUUCCUUUGCUGAAUCAGGGAAUCUGAUUAUCACACAUCAUUAAUCUAAUGACAAAGAGCCUUUUUUAAAAAAAUGAGUAGGUCAAACAGUCUUAGUGAGAUCAACUUUUAAUGCUGUACCCAUUAUUUUCACGACACGUAUAUUUUUAAAAUGCCUUCAAAUUUACAGAGCAUUUUCCCAUAGUUUUCCAAAAAAUUUUCACAAGUAUAAAUUAAAUGUGUUCUCAUUCUCAUUUACAGACAAGGAAACUGAGGCUCAGAGGUUUUUUUGUGUGACAUGUCCAGGGAUAUAGUUAAUAAAUAGCACAGCUAGGACUAGAACUGUCUGAUUCUAACCCAGAGCUGACCUAUUUUUUAAUAUCCAUACUAAUGUCAAUUUCUAAAUGAUCUCUCCCAAAAUAUGCCUUCAUGAGAAAAGGAUUUCACGGUCAAAUACAUUUGGAGAAAACUGUCUGCUAAAUUCCUCAUUGGUAGAAUCACAGACUUGUUACUUUUAAAGGCUGUGAGGACUACUGAAUUAAUGAAGUCCAUUUAACAUUGUUUAAUCUAAACUUAUUCCCAGGUUUAAUUAAUCAUUGAAAUUUUUCCCCAUGUAAUUGCUACUAACAUCCAGAGUACCUGCAUUAAUAACUGUUCUAAAUGAACAACUUUUUAUCAACUAUGUUAAAAGGCCUAGGUGCUACAAAAGGCCAUAUUUCAGAGGAGAGUUUAGGAAAAUUAGAGCAGGAAAGUGUCCUGAAAAGAACAAAGGAAGUGUUUGCUUUUAUUUUUUAGUUUGUAGCCAAAAGAAUUUGCUACGCUAUAAAUGCCAUAAAAGUAAGAACUACCUCUACACUUUUUAUGAGACAUGUAGUACAAUCCACAAUUAAAAAUAUAUGUUUAACGGAGAAAAAUGACAUGAAUUUCUCAUCAGUACUAAUCAGCCAUAAACAAUUUUUUAUCAGAAAACAGAAAAAAACUAAGCUUAUUUUUCUAUUUGACAAGCGGCAUGGCACUGAGGUGGUAUUCUGAUGUAAAAAGAUCGUUUGGAAAAAAAAAAGCUUUUUAAGGGUCUUUAAGGGACUUCUCAGCAUCAUCACUUAAUGACUUGAUCAAUGCCCCAUGCAGAAUUUUCUUAAAGGGUCACAUUAAUGCAAAUGAUGUACCAGAGGGUCUUCAAAUGUAUUAGAAAAUAUUAAUCUUGCAAUUGAAGAGAAGAAAAACUGUUUCCUAAUGGUACUUUUUUUUCCUUAAUAAUCAAUUUUCAUUCCUUUCCCCCCUUUUCUAGUCAUUCUCAUUCACUUACUUUAACCAACGUGAAUUCCUUAUUUCAGAACUCUUACAGUAAAAGAAUUUCAAAAGUCAGGCAGAGUGGGUGGAAAUUGAUAGCGUGAUAUAUAAAUUCUUCAGAUGAGUAUUAAUUUAGCAGAUUCUGCUCCUCUCUCCCUCUACCAAAGUGGAACAGAAAGCUGAAAUCUAAAGCGUUUAAUUAUACCACAUUUCAGUCAGUUCACUAGAUUAUAUUCUUAGCUCCAUGAAUUGCCCAUGAGUGAGAACUCUGCUUGUGAUAAAAGGUCAAAAACAAUUUUGAACAAUACAAUUUUUCUCCAAAUAUUUAGUUCUUGCCUGCAUAAUUAUCUACAUGUACACAUGUGUAUACACACACACACACCACAUACAUGGAGUUUAGCAACUUCUCUUUCAAAAAAUAACAUUGUCAUUGGUAAGAGAAUUUGAAAAGCCAGCAGCCAUUGAGAAAAUCUGAAAACAGCUUGGGGACUACCAAAUUAUAGCACACUUGGAUUUAAUCCUAGAGCUUGCUCCCUGUUACCCUUAUCCACAAAUACUAGGAAUUUCAUCUUGCUCUAACUGCAAUGCCAGAUCCAAGACAUGUCUGUGACCUCCACCACAGCUCAUGGCAACACCAAGUCCUUAACCCACUGAGUGAGGCUAAGGACCGAACCCAUAUCCUCAUGGAUACUAGUCGGGUUUGUAACCUGCUGAGCCACAACAGGAACUCUUUACACGCAAGGAAAUAUUUAACGGCUCAUCUGCAGUUUUAGGAGAGUGAAGCAGGAAUGAAAAAUUGGGUCGGUUUCAAUUCAAAUAGAUGUUGUCGUACAUGAGUCUCUUUAAACUAAAAACAGAAAAGCUAGGAAUCUGUUCUGUGCAGUUUUGGCAAUCGACGUU